GUAAUUCAGAUUCAUCUCCUCCUGAUAAUGAACAAGGCCUCCCCAGAGUAUGAAGAGAACAUGCACAGAUACCAGAAGGCAGCCAAGCUCUUCCAGGGGAAGCUGCAAUAAUUUAUUUUAACUCAAGAUUUCAAUUUCAUGGUGCAGACCAUAAAUUCAAUCAGUGUGAGCUGCAACAAUUACAAGGUAUCUCUUUAUCCCUGGACGUCACCUCAGAUAGAACUUUUUCUUUCAAACUUCCCCAACUGCAGAUUCUCUUUAUUCUGGUGGACAGUGGUAUGAAAGAAAAUGG
This 292-nucleotide long non-coding RNA is filed under the name Homo sapiens (human). RNAcentral's name for it is "non-protein coding lnc-ARHGDIB-2:1". The record is from RNAcentral. Lineage: Eukaryota; Metazoa; Chordata; Mammalia; Primates; Hominidae.